This 281-nucleotide unclassified non-coding RNA is filed under the name uncultured Ascomycota. RNAcentral's name for it is "sequence contains ITS1". Lineage: Eukaryota; Fungi; Ascomycota. The record is from RNAcentral.
ACGAGCUGGCCUCCGUCGCGGCCUGCCUGGGCCAUACCAGGACGGCGGCUUCGAUCCGACGCCGCGCGGUACGCGUCGGGGGACGGCCGCGGCAGCGGUGACCUUUCAGCGGAUAGCGGCGCGAGUCUUCGAUCAGGGCCAAUACCAAGGGUUCGUCUUUGAAGACCAGCUGGGCUGGCAUUUCGCUAACGCACUUUUUGCGUGGGAGGACAUCCCGGGCUUGUGGGUCUUCGGCGAUGAGGCGUUCGCGACAUGGACCGCGACGCUCACGCGAGAAAGGU